This 468-nucleotide ribosomal RNA is filed under the name uncultured bacterium. Its description in RNAcentral is "partial 16S ribosomal RNA". It matches the Rfam family "Bacterial small subunit ribosomal RNA", at positions 28 to 507 of the family's 1533-position model. The record is from RNAcentral.
GACGAACGCUGGCGGCGUGCUUAACACAUGCAAGUCGAACGGAAAGGCCCUGCUUUUGUGGGGUGCUCGAGUGGCGAACGGGUGAGUAACACGUGAGUAACCUGCCCUUGACUUUGGGAUAACUUCAGGAAACUGGGGCUAAUACCGGAUAGGAGCUCCUGCUGCAUGGUGGGGGUUGGAAAGUUUCGGCGGUUGGGGAUGGACUCGCGGCUUAUCAGCUUGUUGGUGGGGUAGUGGCUUACCAAGGCUUUGACGGGUAGCCGGCCUGGGAGGGUGACCGGCCACAUUAGGACUAAGAUACGGCCCAGACUCCUACGGGAGACAGCAGUGGGGAAUAUUGCACAAUGGGCGGAAGCCUGAUGCAGCAGCGCCGCGUGCGGGAUGACGGCCUUCGGGUUGUAAACCGCUUUCGCCUAUGACGAAGCGUGAGUGACGGUAAUGGGUGAAGAAGCACCGGCUAACUACGUG